AUGGCGAACACGGGUUUAUCACGGCGUAACUCUUGUCCAAAGGUUCACAGCGCAUUGUGCAGUGAGCUGACUAUGAUGCUAGAUAAAAUCUCCUCUAUUCUUCCAUCAAUUGAGGCAGCUCGACCAGGAUGUAGAGCAGGAAUACAGGAAUUGUGCAACUUAUACCAUAUAGUUGAGAAAGGAAGGCUCAUAACUCAGCACUGCAUCGAAUGUAGUAAACUCUACUUGGCAAUUACAGGUGAGGCGAUUUUAUCACGGUGUGAAAGGGUCAGAGACUCACUUAAACGGAGUCUCUUCCUGAUUCAGAAUAUGGUCCCAACAGUAUUAGCUAAUCAGAUUGCUGACGUCCACAAUGAUCUUCGAGAUGUAAAAUUUUCUGUUGAUCCACUGGAACAAGAGGCUGGCAAAUCAAUUUUAGAGAUGCUUCGGCAGUCUGAUGCAACUGAAGAACUUCUACUUCAGACAUUCAUGCAGGCAGCUUCAAAGUUAAACCUGACAUCUCCUAAAGCUAUCUUAAUUGAAAGAAGAGCGAUCAAGAAACUGCUCGAUAAGAUUACUGGUACUGAUCAGAAAAAGGAGCAGGUUCUUAAGUUUCUCCUACAUCUUGUUACAAAGUAUGGAAAGAACGUCAAACCAGACACUGGUGAGCGGAAUGAAAAUUUACAAUCUGAAAGUAAGUCUUUGAGUCCAAGCUUAAGUCUUGCAAGCGAUGCCAGUACUCCUGAAAAGUGCGACAAGCCAACAUACUUCCAGGGAUAUGAGUAUCAGAGUAGCAUGUCUGGAGAAACCACACCACCUACAGAGUUCUGUUGCCCAAUAUCAACAAAGCUAAUGCAUGAUCCUGUGAUAAUAACAUCUGGACAGACUUACGAAAGAGAAUAUAUUGAGAAAUGGUUCAGUGAGGGAUACAACACUUGUCCCAAGACACAAAAAAAGCUAGAAAACUUUGCGAUGAUUCCAAAUACUUGCAUGAGGGAUCUCAUUUGCAACUGGUGCAGAGAGCAUGGUUUCACAAUCUCAGAUUUUCUUCCAAGCAAAGAUUCCUACAGUUAUUUGCCAGAGCAAUUGCAUGGUCACUCUAUGUCAAGUUUGCACAAUGUUUCAGUACCUCUAAUUGCUGGGAAUGCCAGGAAUUUUGUGAUUGAUCACAGCAGUUCAUCUGUCGCGUUUUCUGAUGCCAGUUAUGUCUCAGAUUCCUCCCAUGUGAAGGAUAUGGAGGAGCCGAAGGAUACUUUUUCUCAGUUCUCUUGGAGUGUAGAUUAUCAGAAGCAUCUGUCAUUCCACAACUUCAACCAGUGCAUGUUCCUGAGGUUCUUCUGCGAGCUGUCCAAGCUCCCAUUAGAAAUACAAGGAAGCUCCAUUAAAGAUCUGAAGAACAUUCUUCACGAUGACGAUGAUGUUUCCUGGGCUAUGGCGUCCCAUGGAUUUGUAGAAGCAUUCCUCGAAUUCUUGAGAAAUGAUAGCAGCAGCUACAGUAUGAAAGCUCAACAAGCUGGAUUACAUUUUUUUCUUAAUUUCCUUUCCAACAGCAGGGCUAAGAUUCCAUCCAUGGAUGAAGAAGCAUUCCGUCUUAUCACGUCCUUCCUCAGUUCGGAGCUAAAAACUGAAGCUUUGUUGGUGCUCCAUGAACUGAUUCGACACCUGAGUCGUCAGCAAUCCUGUCAGAUGGCCUCUGUUGUCACUCCUCCUGUUUUGGCAAUAUUGGCAUCUGAAGAUAUCGAGGGCCUUGAGCUUCCCUUGAAGAUUAUCUGUGAUCUUUCAUCCGAUGCUGAUGUGAAGUCAGAGCUGAUUUCACUUGGAAUAAUCUCAAAGCUGGUUCCCAUUUUGGCAGAAGGAAGCUUCGUCGAGUGCUGUUUGGAGAUUUUGCGGAACUUAUGCGACAUGGAAGAAGCUAUGGUGCUUAUUACCAGAACAGACCGAUGUCUUGGUUCCAUUGCAGAGUAUCUAGACACGGGAAGCCCUAAAGAACGAGAACUUGCAGUGAUAAUCCUUCUGGCAAUAUGUUCCCGUAGCGUGGAGGAUUGCUCCCAGGUGAUGAAGGAGGGCGUUAUCCCCGCCCUCGUGGACCUGUCGGUGAACGGGAUCGAUGAAGCGAAGAGCUGCUCGUUCAAGCUACUGAAUCUUCUGAGGGAUAUGAGGCAAAGCGAGCUCAACAACUCGUGUUCCCAAGAAGUGGCGGCCGCCGCCGAAGUGAUAGAGGAUCCUCCCACCGAGAGCCCGAUUCACAGGCGGCCAGCAUCGAAGUCAUCUGGUUUUUUCCAGAGGAAGCUGAACAUUUUCUCGAAACCUCGGUCCCUGACGCUGUUUUGA
Molecule: ribosomal RNA, 2310 nt
Filed under: Triticum aestivum (bread wheat)
Lineage: Eukaryota; Viridiplantae; Streptophyta; Magnoliopsida; Poales; Poaceae
Description: partial small subunit ribosomal RNA
Source: RNAcentral